GCAGUCGUGGCCUACUGGUUAGGGCUUCGGGCUUGUAACCGGGAGGCUGCCGGUUUGAUCCCUGACCAGUAGGA
RNAcentral lists this transfer RNA (74 nucleotides) under Alosa alosa (allis shad). Its description in RNAcentral is "tRNA-OTHER". Lineage: Eukaryota; Metazoa; Chordata; Actinopteri; Clupeiformes; Clupeidae. The record is from RNAcentral.